UGGGGAAUAUUGCACAAUGGGCGCAAGCCUGAUGCAGCCAUGCCGCGUGUGUGAAGAAGGCCUUCGGGUUGUAAAGCACUUUCAGCGAGGAGGAAGGCGUUAAGGUUAAUAACCUUGGCGAUUGACGUUACUCGCAGAAGAAGCACCGGCUAACUCCGUGCCAGCAGCCGCGGUAAUACGGAGGGUGCAAGCGUUAAUCGGAAUUACUGGGCGUAAAGCGCACGCAGGCGGUUUGUUAAGUCAGAUGUGAAAUCCCCGAGCUUAACUUGGGAACUGCAUUUGAAACUGGCAAGCUAGAGUCUUGUAGAGGGGGGUAGAAUUCCAGGUGUAGCGGUGAAAUGCGUAGAGAUCUGGAGGAAUACCGGUGGCGAAGGCGGCCCCCUGGACAAAGACUGACGCUCAGGUGCGAAAGCGUGGGGCAGCAAACAGGAUUAGAUACCCUGGUAGUCCACGCUGUAAACGAUGUCGAUUUGGAGGUUGUGGGCUUGACCCGUGGCUUCCGGAGCUAACGCGUUAAAUCGACCGCCUGGGGAGUACGGCCGCAAGGUUAAAACUCAAAGUGAAUUGAC
Molecule: ribosomal RNA, 569 nt
Filed under: uncultured bacterium
Lineage: Bacteria
Description: partial 16S ribosomal RNA
Rfam family: Bacterial small subunit ribosomal RNA
Source: RNAcentral